UGGGGAAUUUUGGACAAUGGGCGAAAGCCUGAUCCAGCAAUGCCGCGUGUGUGAAGAAGGCCUUCGGGUUGUAAAGCACUUUUGUCCGGAAAGAAAUCCUUGGCUCUAAUACAGUCGGGGGAUGACGGUACCGGAAGAAUAAGCACCGGCUAACUACGUGCCAGCAGCCGCGGUAAUACGUAGGGUGCAAGCGUUAAUCGGAAUUACUGGGCGUAAGCGUGCGCAGGCGGUUUGCUAAGACCGAUGUGAAAUCCCCGGGCUCAACCUGGGAACUGCAUUGGUGACUGGCAGGCUAGAGUAUGGCAGAGGGGGGUAGAAUUCCACGUGUAGCAGUGAAAUGCGUAGAGAUGUGGAGGAAUACCGAUGGCGAAGGCAGCCCCCUGGGCCAAUACUGACGCUCAUGCACGAAAGCGUGGGGAGCAAACAGGAUUAGAUACCCUGGUAGUCCACGCCCUAAACGAUGUCAACUAGUUGUUGGGGAUUCAUUCCUUAGUAACGUAGCUAACGCGUGAGUUGACCGCCUGGGGAGUACGGUCGC
RNAcentral lists this ribosomal RNA (538 nucleotides) under uncultured bacterium. RNAcentral's name for it is "partial 16S ribosomal RNA". It matches the Rfam family "Bacterial small subunit ribosomal RNA", at positions 355 to 889 of the family's 1533-position model. The record is from RNAcentral.